AACAACUACCUCUCUCUCUCUCUCCCUCCUUCCUCUUUAAAUCCCUAACGCGCUUCCGAAACGCCGAAGCCCAAAGAGAGUCGGAUUGAGAAAAAAGAGGGUGUUUUAUUUUUUGUCUGGUGGCGACGCCAGCUUGCCGACAUGGAAAGGAAACGCACGGCUCCCACCCCGCGCCUUCGUAUCCGCGAAGAAGGCGCACAGUCUCACCUGGACGAAACCUAGAAUGUCUUUUAUACGAGUGGUCGAUCUGCCGUUUGAUCUUUGGGGUGCAUGGAAGAUCUGGUAUCUCGCAUGCAAUUUCUAUGAGGGCAUUUGUAUGGAAUGAGUAAUCGACGUGCCACUUGAGCUGCCUACGUGAACUUGAUGACGGGGUUACCCAUUCACGAAGGCGAACUGGAUGACGG
RNAcentral lists this long non-coding RNA (404 nucleotides) under Phoenix dactylifera (date palm). RNAcentral's name for it is "long non-coding RNA (PDAC_LNC016036)". Lineage: Eukaryota; Viridiplantae; Streptophyta; Magnoliopsida; Arecales; Arecaceae. The record is from RNAcentral.